CAGUCGUGUUCUCUGGGAUUCAGCCUUGCUUUUGCUUGGUGCAUUUCCUAGUCUACGGGCCAGCAUGGAUUUCGACCGUCGGAAAAGGGCUGGGGGAAUGUGGCACUUUCGGGUGUGUUAUAGCCCCUGUCGCACACGUCGGUUGGGAUCGAGGACCUCAGUGCACGCUUCGGUUGUGCUUUGAUGCUGGCGUAAUGGCUUUAAAACGCCCGUCUUGAAACACGGACCAAGGAGUCUAAACAUAUGUAGCG
RNAcentral lists this ribosomal RNA (251 nucleotides) under Diversispora epigaea. The record is from RNAcentral. Lineage: Eukaryota; Fungi; Glomeromycota; Glomeromycetes; Diversisporales; Diversisporaceae.